Molecule: transfer RNA, 68 nt
Filed under: Pteropus alecto (black flying fox)
Lineage: Eukaryota; Metazoa; Chordata; Mammalia; Chiroptera; Pteropodidae
Description: tRNA-Gly
Rfam family: tRNA
About the family: Transfer RNA (tRNA) molecules are approximately 80 nucleotides in length. Their secondary structure includes four short double-helical elements and three loops (D, anti-codon, and T loops).
Source: RNAcentral
ACCCUUUUAGUAUAAACAGUACAAUUGACUUCCAAUCAAUUAGCUUCGGUCUAACCCGAAAAAGAGUA